Molecule: ribosomal RNA, 301 nt
Filed under: uncultured bacterium
Lineage: Bacteria
Description: partial 16S ribosomal RNA
Rfam family: Bacterial small subunit ribosomal RNA
Source: RNAcentral
CAGCCGCCACGGGAAUACGUAGGGUGCAAGCGUUAAUCGGAAUUACUGGGCGUAAAGCGCACGUAGGCGGCUUUGUAAGUUAGAGGUGAAAGCCCGGAGCUCAACUCCGGAAUUGCCUUUAAGACUGCAGAGCUAGCAGGUGAGAGAGGUGAGUGGAAUUCCGAGUGUAGAGGUGAAAUUCGUAGAUAUUCGGAAGAACACCAGUGGUGAAGGCGGCUUACUGGCUCAUUCUAGACGCUGAGGUGCGAAAGCGUGGGGAGCAAACAGGAUUAGAUACCCGCGUAGUCCCUGUCUCUUAUAC